RNAcentral lists this ribosomal RNA (386 nucleotides) under uncultured prokaryote. RNAcentral's name for it is "bacterial SSU rRNA". It matches the Rfam family "Archaeal small subunit ribosomal RNA", at positions 339 to 725 of the family's 1478-position model. The record is from RNAcentral.
GCGCGAAAACUUUACAAUGCUGGCAACAGCGAUAAGGGAACCUCGAGUGCCAGGUUACAAAUCUGGCUGUCGAGAUGCCUAAAAAGCAUUUCAUAGCAAGGGCCGGGCAAGACCGGUGCCAGCCGCCGCGGUAACACCGGCGGCUCGAGUGGUAACCGUUAUUAUUGGGUCUAAAGGGUCUGUAGCCGGCCGGAUAAGUCUCUUGAGAAAUCUGGCAGCUUAACUGUCAGGCCUUCAGGAGAUACUGUCUGGCUCGAGGCCGGGAGAGGUGAGGGGUACUUCAGGGGUAGGGGUGAAAUCUUGUAAUCCUUGAAGGACCACCAGUGGCGAAGGCGUCUCACCAGAACGGACCUGACGGCAAGGGACGAAAGCUAGGGGCACGAACC